This 161-nucleotide ribosomal RNA is filed under the name Forsythia suspensa. Its description in RNAcentral is "5.8S ribosomal RNA". It matches the Rfam family "5.8S ribosomal RNA". From Rfam's summary of the family: 5.8S ribosomal RNA (5.8S rRNA) is a component of the large subunit of the eukaryotic ribosome. The record is from RNAcentral. Lineage: Eukaryota; Viridiplantae; Streptophyta; Magnoliopsida; Lamiales; Oleaceae.
ACGACUCUCGGCAACGGAUAUCUCGGCUCUCGCAUCGAUGAAGAACGCAGCAAAAUGCGAUACUUGGUGUGAAUUGCAAAAUCCCGUGAACCAUCGAGUUUUUGAACGCAAGUUGCGCCCGAAGCCAUUAUGCUGAGGGCACGUCUGCCUGGGCGUCACGC